CCUACGGGAGACAGCAGUAGGGAAUAUUGCACAAUGGGGGAAACCCUGAUGCAGCAACGCCGCGUGGGGGAUGAAGGUUUUAUGAAUGUAAACCCCUUUUGUCAGAGAAGAUAAUGACGGUAUCUCAGGAAUAAGCCCCGGCCAACUCCGUGCCAGCCGCCGCGGUAAUACGGAGGGUGCAAGCGUUACUCGGAAUCACUGGGCGUAAAGGGUGCGCAGGCGGGGUUGUAAGUCAGAGGUGAAAUCCUGUAGCUUAACUACAGAACUGCAUUUGAAACUAUGGGUCUAGAGUGUGGGAGAGGUAGGUGGAAUUCUUGGUGUAGCGGUAAAAUCCGUAGAUAUCAGGAGGAAUACUCAUGGCGAAGGCGACCUACUGGAACAUUACUGACGCUGAUGCACGAAAGCGUGGGGAGCAAACAGGAUUAGAUACCCCAGUAGUC
RNAcentral lists this ribosomal RNA (440 nucleotides) under uncultured bacterium. RNAcentral's name for it is "partial 16S ribosomal RNA". It matches the Rfam family "Bacterial small subunit ribosomal RNA", at positions 338 to 795 of the family's 1533-position model. The record is from RNAcentral.